This 468-nucleotide ribosomal RNA is filed under the name uncultured bacterium. Its description in RNAcentral is "partial 16S ribosomal RNA". It matches the Rfam family "Bacterial small subunit ribosomal RNA", at positions 28 to 507 of the family's 1533-position model. The record is from RNAcentral.
GACGAACGCUGGCGGCGUGCUUAACACAUGCAAGUCGAACGGAAAGGCCCUGCUUUUGUGGGGUGCUCGAGUGGCGAACGGGUGAGUAACACGUGAGUAACCUGCCCUUGACUUUGGGAUAACUUCAGGAAACUGGGGCUAAUACCGGAUAGGAGCUCCUGCUGCAUGGUGGGGGUUGGAAAGUUUCGGCGGUUGGGGAUGGACUCGCGGCUUAUCAGCUUGUUGGUGGGGUAGUGGCUUACCAAGGCUUUGACGGGUAGCCGGCCUGAGAGGGUGACCGGCCACAUUGGGACUGAGAUACGGCACAGACUCCUACGGGAGGCAGCAGUGGGGAAUAUUGCACAAUGGGCGGAAGCCUGUUGCAGCAACGCCGCGUGCGGGAUGACGGCCUUCGGGUUGUAAACCGCUUUCGCCUGUGACGAAGCGUGAGUGACGGUAAUGGGUAAAGAAGCACCGGCUAACUACGUG